CUACACAUCUCUCUCCCUCACCCCUCCUUCUCCACCUCCAGACGCCGCCACGGCCAGGCUGGCGUGGUGGUGUGCCUCCGCGACCUCCACCACUCCACCCAGCACCACCAUUACCUCCAUCCACCUGCGCCACCCAGCCAUCUAUUCACUCAUCUUCACCAGCGCCACCAUCUCCACCACAGCGCCAUCACUCCACUGCCGCACCUCGCGCGCCUGACCAGACGGGUGUUUGGGUACCCGCGCGACCCUGCCUUCUGCCGCCGCUCCUCUUCCUUCUCCUUCUCCCGCGCCCUUCUGCUUGCUUCUUCUCCUGAGUCUUCACUGCUGCUCCUUUUGCCUAUCCCUCUGCUGCUCGCUGCAUCCUUCUUCUCUGAACCUCCUUUGUUGCUGCUCCUUCUCUGAAUCUACAGCUGCUACUACUCUCUACUGCUGUUCUUCUUCUUCUUGCGCCCAUGUUGCUGAUAUCUUCAUCCCCACGCUGUUGCUGCUUCUCUUCUUCUUCUAUCCCCAACCCCUGAUGUUGUUCCUUUCUCUUGCUGCGCCCCUGCUCUUCUUCUUCCACAAACCUUGCUGGUGUUAAACUCUCUCUCUCUCUCUCUCUCUCUCUCUGUGUGUGUGUGUGUGUGUGUGUGAUUUCUAUGUAUCAAAGAUGUGUUAGACCUGGUGUUAUUCAGACUUAUGCUUGUUAAGUUGUACUCUGUUGAUCUGCAAGAAGUAGAACAGUUUACUUUCACUUUUGUUGAUGUGUAAGAACUAGCUAUAUAUGUCAUAUAUAUUUUGUGCUAGCUAAUGAUAAUUGUCUCAUUUAUUGUUCAUGUACUAGCUUGG
Molecule: ribosomal RNA, 828 nt
Filed under: Triticum aestivum (bread wheat)
Lineage: Eukaryota; Viridiplantae; Streptophyta; Magnoliopsida; Poales; Poaceae
Description: partial small subunit ribosomal RNA
Source: RNAcentral